UGAACGCUGGCGGCGUGCCUAAUACAUGCAAGUCGAGCGAACAGACGCGGAGCUUGCUCCUCUGACGUUAGCGGCGGACGGGUGAGUAACACGUGGAUAACCUACCUAUAAGACUGGGAUAACUUCGGGAAACCGGAGCUAAUACCGGAUAAUAUAUUGAACCGCAUGGUUCAAUAGUGAAAAAUGGUUUUGCUGUCCCUUAUAGAUGGAUCCGCGCUGCAUUAGCUAGUUGGUAAGAUAACGACUAACCAAGGCAACGAUGCGUAGCCUAUCUGUGAGGGUAAGCGGCCGCAGUUGAACUGAUACGAGGUCCAGGAUCCGACGGAAAGCAAUCGUGAGGAAUCUUGCACUAUUGGCGAAAGCCUGACGGAGCAACCGCACGUGAGUGAUGGAGGUCUUCGGGUCGAAAAACCCUGUUAUUAGGGAGGAACAAAAGUGUAUAUAACUAUGCAUGUCUUGACGGUACCUAAUCAGAGAGCCACGGCGAACCACGGG
RNAcentral lists this ribosomal RNA (495 nucleotides) under uncultured bacterium. RNAcentral's name for it is "partial 16S ribosomal RNA". It matches the Rfam family "Bacterial small subunit ribosomal RNA", at positions 30 to 507 of the family's 1533-position model. The record is from RNAcentral.